Molecule: long non-coding RNA, 228 nt
Organism: Amphibalanus amphitrite
Lineage: Eukaryota; Metazoa; Arthropoda; Thecostraca; Balanomorpha; Balanidae
Exons: 3
Source: RefSeq, a predicted model, not a curated record
CAGCACCACCGGCUCCGGAAUCACCACCACCAGCCUCCAUCCCCUGCCAGCUUUGGCAGCACCACCACCAGCACCGCCGGCCUCAGGACCAAGCCCACCACCUGCGGGCGUUGACGGAGGCGGGUGUGCGGCUCUGGCGCAGCUGAGCCGUCGACCGCCGGAGCCAAUCCGGCAGUCCGGCAUUUCAGCUGCCGCACACUCGCCCGUCACAGCAUCAGAGGCCUCCCC